CCUACGGGGGGCAGCAGUGGGGAAAAUUGGACAAUGGGGGGAACCCUGAUCCAGCCAUGCCGCGUGUGUGAAGAAGGCCCUCGGGUUGUAAAGCACUUUCAGUGAGGAAGAACGCCUGGUGGUUAAUACCCAUCAGGAAAGACAUCACUCACAGAAGAAGCACCGGCUAACUCCGUGCCAGCAGCCGCGGUAAUACGGAGGGUGCGAGCGUUAAUCGGAAUUACUGGGCGUAAAGCGCGCGUAGGUGGCUUGAUAAGCCGGUUGUGAAAGCCCCGGGCUCAACCUGGGAACGGCAUCCGGAACUGUCAAGCUAGAGUGCAGGAGAGGAAGGUAGAAUUCCCGGUGUAGCGGUGAAAUGCGUAGAGAUCGGGAGGAAUACCAGUGGCGAAGGCGGCCUUCUGGACUGACACUGACACUGAGGUGCGAAAGCGUGGGUAGCAAACAGGAUUAGAUACCCCGGUAGUC
This 465-nucleotide ribosomal RNA is filed under the name Vreelandella stevensii. Its description in RNAcentral is "partial 16S ribosomal RNA". It matches the Rfam family "Bacterial small subunit ribosomal RNA", at positions 338 to 795 of the family's 1533-position model. The record is from RNAcentral. Lineage: Bacteria; Pseudomonadati; Pseudomonadota; Gammaproteobacteria; Oceanospirillales; Halomonadaceae.